ACAUAAAAAAUAGUCAAAUAAAAAAUUCAGAAAAUUGCUCCUCAAUUAACAAGAUCCAAGCAUUAGAGGAACACGAAUCAUUGCCACAAAAUCAAUUAGAAUGGCCCUCCUCACAUCAUCCUUGGAACUCGACAAUGGAGAGAAAUCGUAGAACGAAUAAAAAAAACAAAAUAUAGAUUGCGACAACCUGUUAAUCCAAUCUUCAACCAAACGAAACCCUAAAGGCAUGGAAGAUAUGAGAUGACAGCGACGGUGCAGAUCUGAAUUGGAGUGGAAGUCAGGCGGAUGUGUAAUGGAGGAGGGGCGGCGGCAGUGCAGUUAUG
RNAcentral lists this long non-coding RNA (323 nucleotides) under Erythranthe guttata (spotted monkey flower). Its description in RNAcentral is "long non-coding RNA (EGUT_LNC002523)". The record is from RNAcentral. Lineage: Eukaryota; Viridiplantae; Streptophyta; Magnoliopsida; Lamiales; Phrymaceae.